This is an RNA transcript of Nicotiana tabacum (common tobacco), 2030 nucleotides long. It is a transcript of the gene named F-box/kelch-repeat protein At3g23880-like, with no coding region annotated. The record is from RefSeq and is a predicted model, not a curated record. Lineage: Eukaryota; Viridiplantae; Streptophyta; Magnoliopsida; Solanales; Solanaceae.
GAAAGGGUAAACCAUUAAACCCUUAACCCCGUAGUCUUUCCAACAACUUGGGUUCUCCAUAAGCAAAAAAAACUACUCCAAGAUUUCCAGUUUCAGCAAACCAAAUGGAAUCACAAAGAGUUGAGGCCGUCCCUCGACACCCAAAAGAGAGCAAACUCCAAAACCCAGCUCAUGUUCCAUCCAUUUCAAGAAAAGAUUCAAUAUUUUCUAUGCCUAACCUUCCUGCAGAACUCAUCACAGAAAUCUUGUUAAAGCUUCCGGUCAAACCCCUCUUGCGAUUUAGUUGUGUUUCAAAAUCAUGGCUUGCACUAAUCUCUAGCCCUGAAUUUGUGAAAACCCAUCUCUUAUUAUCCGCUAGUAAUAAGAACUACACCCACCAUGGAGUUAUUUUUGAGGUAUCUAAUGAUAACCACAACGUUAAGGACUGUUCUCUUAGCUCUUUACUUUACAAUUCUGUUACUGAGGCAUUUGACCUGGAUUAUCCUAGUAAAAAUCCCAAUCAUUUUCCUCGGAUUGUGGGUUCUAUCAAUGGUUUGAUUUGUCUUGUCAUUAGUUCGUUUGACGGUUUACCUGACUUGUUUCUAUGGAAUCUAUCAGUUAGAAAGUACAGGAAAUUGCGUAAUUAUAGACUCAAUGUAAGCCGCCGUUACCAUGAGGAUGAAUGUGUUGAUUUUAAUUUUGGUUUUGCUUAUGAUGAGUUCCAAGAUGAUUACAAGGUAGUGGGUGUUUUCCCUAUUUACAGAUAUGUACAUUUGUGUCGUAUUGAGGUUAAAAUAUAUAAUCUAAAGAGUAAUUCUUGGAGAAGUAUUGAUGAUUUUAAAGGUAGGUUGUUGUUGGAUGAUCAUUCGGGUAAGCUUGUGAAUGGGAAGCUUUAUUGGCUUGACAGGGGAUGGAACAUCGUUUCUAUUGAUUUGACUGAUGAGAAAUGGGCAGAGGUAGAGCAGCCCUGCUCUUUUAAAAAAUGUGAUUUUUUGAGUCUAGGAGUGUUCAGGAGUGAUCUUUCUGCGUUUUGUAAUGAAGCAUGGACUCAUGUAGAUGUAUGGGUUAUGAAGGAGUAUGGGGUAAAAGAAUCUUGGGAAAAAAUAUUUACCAUCAAGUCUCCUGUUGAUUCUACGGGAAAUAGAUUCCACCCACUGAUUUUAAUGUCAAAUGAAGGUGAAAUUUUGCUUCAGUUUGGAUCACGUUUCACGAAUUACAAUUCAAAGGAUGACUCGAUCAAAUAUCUAGAUGUCACCAACUUUGCUCCAUCUCUUGAAGCACAAAUCUAUGUUAAAAGCCUAGUUUGUCCCUUUUUACCACGAACGCAACAACAACAACGGAGCUGAAAUAACUCAGAUGAAGACAAUCAUGUGACUAAUAUCAUUUGUAGCAUCUCCAGAAGGCCUUCUUCAUCCUUCGUCUUUAACUCCAGCAAAUGUUUCUACCGAGCUUUGUAUGGUUCAACUCUGUAAAGUUCAAUAAGGGCAAUCAGGUGAAGGAUGCACCUCACUGAAUGAUCAUCUUGGUUAAUGAAUGGAUGAGAUUCCGAUGUUUGACACAUGCUGUGGGCUGGUGUAGCUUGACUUACUCUCUGCUGAUGGAUCACCUUAAAAAAUAUCAUUUGCAGCUUCGAGUUCUUAUCUAGCAAAAGUUCCAAUGAGAAUGCUGGAGAAGGGGAUUGUAAUCCAGCUCUUGUACCUUCUGUUGAGUAUCAAGAACCUAACAACUUCCUAUAUAGAACUGUAUAUAGAGAUGUUGGGUAGUAGAUAUGCUUGUGAUGCAAUGCUAUGUGAGACUGUGACCACUUUACAAGGCAUAUAAGCUUAUUUUCGUCCUUGAUUGAAGUCAAAGUAUUUAACCAUGGUAAUUCCCGAUUCAGGUAUUGUUAUUUCUUGUGUAAUAACAUGCAUUGUUAUUUAUUUUAUAUAGAUAAUAUAGAUAAUUCAUGAAUUAUUAUUCAUGUAUAAUUAAACAGUGAAACAGACGACUGCUUACGAGUUCCAUUUCGAUGGACGUCCUUGAGAUUGUAAAGAGGCACAGAAUUUUUUCUC